This 1419-nucleotide ribosomal RNA is filed under the name Triticum aestivum (bread wheat). RNAcentral's name for it is "partial small subunit ribosomal RNA". Lineage: Eukaryota; Viridiplantae; Streptophyta; Magnoliopsida; Poales; Poaceae. The record is from RNAcentral.
AUGUUGCAUUCUUUAAUUCAUACGACCCCUAACUCUGGAUGUACUUUUGCUUUAGAUAAACCAAAACCACAAGGUUUAUUGGACUCUAAGAAGGAUACAGUUAUCCCAAGGGAGGGAAACAAUCAACAUAUUGCAGCACACACAUUCACUUUUCGUGAGCUUGCUGCUGCCACUAAGAACUUCAGACAGGAUUGCCUAUUGGGCGAGGGAGGUUUCGGCCGUGUAUAUAGAGGACGUUUGGACAAUGGACAGGCUGUUGCAGUUAAGCAACUUGAUCGCAAUGGACUUCAAGGUAACAGAGAGUUUCUGGUUGAGGUCCUUAUGCUCAGUCUAUUGCACCACGAUAACUUGGUAAACCUAAUUGGAUACUGUGCUGAUGGGGAUCAACGUCUUCUUGUAUAUGAAUAUAUGCCGCUAGGAUCACUUGAGGAUCAUUUGCACGACAUUCCACCUGAAAAGGAACCUCUUGACUGGAAUACACGGAUGAAGAUUGCUGCUGGUGCUGCCAAGGGAUUAGAAUACUUGCAUGACAAGGCAAGUCCUCCUGUUAUUUACCGGGAUUUCAAGUCGUCAAACAUUCUUCUUGGCGAAGAGUUUCAUCCAAAGCUAUCUGACUUUGGCCUUGCAAAACUUGGCCCUGUCGGUGAUAAAACCCAUGUUUCAACUCGUGUUAUGGGAACUUAUGGCUACUGUGCCCCAGAGUAUGCAAUGACUGGACAGCUUACAGUUAAAUCUGAUGUGUAUAGCUUUGGUGUUGUGUUCCUUGAACUGAUUACUGGUCGUAAAGCAAUUGACAACACCAAACCACAUGGAGAGCAAAACCUAGUGGCGUGGGCUCGUCCUCUGUUCAAAGACCGCAGAAAAUUUCCAAAAAUGGCUGAUCCGGCACUUCAGGGCCGCUUUCCUAUGAGGGGUCUGUAUCAAGCUUUAGCCGUUGCUGCAAUGUGUUUGCAAGAGCAAGCUGCCACUCGGCCUUUCAUAGGAGAUGUGGUCACUGCUCUUUCAUAUCUUGCUUCUCAGGCGUAUGAUCCAAAUGCACCCACUCAACAUAGUCGGAGCAAUGCAUCUACCCCCAGAGCCAGAGACCGUGGUAGUGUGAACGGCGACCAGCGGCGUAUCCGGUCGCCAAAUCACCAUUCUCCAGAUCUGAGGAGAAAAGAAGCCACAACAACAUCGAAGUAUGAAGCCGAGGUUAGCAGGAAUAGUUCUGGUGGUGGUUCUGGUAGACGAUCAGGCUUGGAUGAUAGGGAUGUGACAGGUUCACAACAGGGUAGUCCUGCUCAGGCAGGAAAGAGGAGGGAAACUUCAAGGACCUCUGAGAGGCAGCGUGCUAUUGCAGAGGCUAAGACAUGGGGUGAGAAUUCUAGAGAGAGGAAAUGGCCGAAUGCUCGGGGCAGCUUCGAUAGUACAAAUGAGUAG